AUAUAGUAUUAAAUUCACCAAAUCCCAUAAAACAGAGCAUGCAGACAAUAAAAACAAUGGGAAAUCAUAAAAUAAUUUUCUAUAAUUCAAAAUUUUUGUCAAAGUUUUACGUUGUAAUUUUAAAUAAGCUUCCUUAAGUUAGCUAGUCGUAUAAGGAAAGCAUUUUGAAAUGGUGUUAUUAUAUAGCAGUUUCUGAAUCAUGCAUUUCACGAAUUGGGUUUCUCUUGCCUUUCUUGUUUUUGCGGUCUUGCUCUUCUAUAGCUACCAAACACCCCUCUUUUUUUCUUCCAGGAACAUGGCUCAAGAAUCUCCCAAGUCUAUCUAUGAUUUCACUGUCAAGGAUAUUCAGGGAAAUGAUGUGAGUCUGAGCAAAUACAGUGGGAAGGUUCUCCUGAUUGUGAAUGUUGCUUCCAAAUGUGGCUUUACGCAAUCAAACUACAAGGAAUUGAAUGUCUUGUAUGAAAAGUACAAAAACCAAGGUUUUGAAAUCCUGGCAUUUCCUUGCAACCAGUUUGCUGGACAAGAACCAGGAAGCAAUGAGGAGAUUCAAGAAGUUGCAUGCACAAUGUUCAAAGCUGAAUUCCCAAUCUUUGAUAAGAUCGAGGUAAAUGGGAAGAACACAGCGCCCCUCUACAAGUACCUAAAAUCAGAAAAAGGUGGAUUAUUUGUAGAUGCCAUCAAGUGGAAUUUCACAAAAUUUUUAGUGAACAAGGAGGGAAAGGUUGUGGAGCGAUAUGCUCCGACUACAUCACCCCUUAAAAUUGAGAAAGACAUACAGAAUCUGUUGGGAUCUUCUUAAAGACCAAGAUUGAGAUCUUCCAUGGUAGAGAAUAGCUAUACAUUUCAGUGUGUAAUCUAUAUGUUUGGUGGAUUUGAAUCACAAGUUCAUAUGAUCAUGUUGCCUGAAUUAUCAGAAUGCACAUCUGUACUUUUAUCAUCAAUAAGAUGACUUGUAUACUUACAGGUGAUUGUCUAGAGAUGUUUAUGUUUGUUUUGAGAACUAUAGAAUUAGAAUAGUAUCUUCACAGUUGAUACUGAUUUUUAUUUUCUUUAAUCCAAGAAACCCAG
RNAcentral lists this unclassified non-coding RNA (1068 nucleotides) under Hevea brasiliensis (rubber tree). Lineage: Eukaryota; Viridiplantae; Streptophyta; Magnoliopsida; Malpighiales; Euphorbiaceae. The record is from RNAcentral.